AGCAAAAAAUAAAAUGAAGAAGAAACUGUAAGUAUUUAUCUGGUAAGGAAAAAAUGCAAAUACUAUGAUGAUGGGAUUAGUAUGGCUAGAUGUGGAUAGUUUAUAGUAUCAUGCUCUGUGCAAGUUGAAGGGGAUUUUGAGGCAAUGAGAAGAUACUAGCAGGUUUUUAUUUGUGAUAAUGGAUCUAAUAAGUAAAAAACCAAACAAAAAAACCCCCAAAAAACCAAACAUACAUGGCAGAGUUUCUCUGAUAUUAACAAUACUGUGCUUUCUUACAGCUAGAGAUUGUCCUGCACUUUUGGUUACAGUGAUCAUAUCAUCUGGAGAAAACAAACUAUGUACACGUUUGUGCACAAGUUUUACAACACCAUUUACAACUGAUGUGACUAAUAUUGCUAAAACAGUAUUUAUGGGACUCUUAUGCUGUGCUAGGGAAAGAGGCUGUUAUAAAGGUGUUCAGGACCUCUGAUGGAGUAGUUUUCAACAACAACAUUCUUUCAAAGUAUUGCCAAUUCACAGGACAUAGGGCAAGUACUUCACAUUGUUCUUGCUUCUUGCAGACAGUUUUCCUGCCCGUGUCUGCAAAGUAAUGUCAGUCAUCCCAGUGAGUACAGGAAAAAGCAGAAAGGUAGUAGUAAUGAAUAUAGUAGUACCAAAGACAGGAAAAGGAUAGGAAACUGAAUCUGUUAAGAAAAGCUAAUACUUUUUGAUGUUUCAAACCACAUUCAGUGGUUUAGCUUCUCAAUACAUGAUCUGUCCCUUGUUUUCUCAUAUUGGCAGGUUUCUAAUGUGUCCCUUAUCAUAUUUUAUGAGUACUAGAACAAAACUUCUAAUGAGUGAGGAAGUGUAGUAGACAGCAAGUCUAAUCUGAGGUAUGAUGAUAAUUCUCAGAGAAGUAGCAAAACAAAUUCUAAUACUAACUUCAGGAGCACCUUUGCUUUGUUUUGGUUCUAAACAGGAGAUACCUGGAAAUACGGUCAAGGUCAGAUUUAAGAUGACCAAGAAGACAUUAGAAGGUGGUGUGUUCUCCAUCUGUGCAUCCAGGAAAGAAUUUUAGGAAGUUAGUUUUUUUAGACGUGUUAAUGACAUGUAUUAUAGAAUUUGUAAAACCAUGAAAUAGGCAUCAAACUUGCAUCCAAAUUUGAUGCUAACUGUUGCACAAAAAAUAUAACCUGUAGUAUCUCCAUCUCAAAAAAUAUCCAAAAUGAACAUGAAAGAUCCUACAUAUAUCCUGUCAGACAACUCACACAGUAUAUGUAAUUCCAUAAUCACAUUUUUUCAUUUAAUGAAUGAAUCAACUGGGUAAAGAGUUCCCAUAUUGGUUUCAGUACAAGAAAUGGCUAAAAAAUACUGCAGCGUGUGGCAGGAAGAAAUAUGACCUUUAUGGGAGUAGUUUUUGGGCUCUUCCAUAAGUGAAGGCUAGGUUAAGAGCAGAGGUUAGAAUCAUACUAACUGUGAGAAGUACCCUCAGGUUUAAGCAAUGUAUGAAUGCAGUACAUUUCUAUGACCUACCUGUGUCGCAACUACCAGUUGAUCUAAAUUUGUAGAAACACUUCUAUCUUAAAACCACAAUGAAUGUGUCCUGGAAAGGCAUCUUUUCUCUUUUGGUACUUGGAAGGUACUUAACCAUGAUUAAGAGCAGUUUCUUAGGUAAUGAUCCAGACAUUACAGAAACCACAGUGUAGUUUAAAGCAUAGAACAUCCUAGUCACUCCUUCCACGAGGGAGCAGACUGGUAAGAGAGAGCAGGACAGACAUCUGUAGCAACAUUGUUUGGUGUGACCUCCUCUUGGUUAAAGGACAGUCACAUAGUCAGGCAUGCUGCAUAGUCAGCAGCGGGGAACACCACCACUUUCAUUUCAAGUGCUCUCUUGUAAAUAACAGGAGACUUGUAGGUGUCAAAAAUCCAUCAUUCUCUUUUUCAACCACAGAAAUCUUACACAAGAUGAAAUCAGGAAGUCUAGAGGCAAUAAAGCUAAGUAGGGAAAAUGUUGAGCAAUACCUUUUGACAUCACUGUCGCUAGACAGACUAUGUGACUGCCUUCGUCUAAGUAUGUAAACUUUACUAAGCUGUGGUGUGUUGCCAAGGUUAAGGUUAGUCAUGCUGGAACCCCAGCAAAAGGGCUCUAGAAGGAGGUCCACCUCUGUGACGUUUGAUAUCCAAAAGAACUGAAAAGGCAGUUUCUCUAGACAGGGAUGUCCAUGUCAGCAGGCUUGUCAUCAAGCUGAGUGGCUCUGGAAGCUGCCUUUCUCAGAAGAACCACAGCCUAGGUGGAGUAGGAGAACCCUGGUGAGCAGCACACACGCUGUAGCCUUAAUUCCGUCAAGGGAUGGCUGGCAGAAGAGGGCCUAAAAACUCUGCCAGGAGUAAGAGGAUAUGGGGAAAAAGCGGUUUAGGGUGGUAGUUGCCAAAGUUUCUGACUGAUGGAUGCUUGUUAGCCUCAUUCUCUGUUACCACCACUGGGCUGUUUCGUCAAACCUUUAAAAGAGACACUGUUACAAACAGUGUUUUCAUAGACUUUUGCAGGCCAGCCUUAGAGCAUUUACCCUGGCCUGGUGCGCCAUACGUUGGGAGUGCCUUCUUAAGGGGAAUUCUAGUCUCCUUAUUGUAAUAAAGUUCUCAAUUCAUUUCAGAAGACUGAAACUCUUUUGGGGAUUCUGCACUAUUGUCAUUUGACAUGGUGGCUGUCGGGGAUUGCGGAUGGUUUAGAGGCUUAUGGGGAGUAUUGGCCUAUCACAGAUUCCCUGGAAGCUGCUGUGUGCCAUGGGGGGCCUUGGAGUCUAUUCUGUCUUGCAGAAGGAGCAUGCUCUGCCACCCCCAAGGAACAAUAACGUUCAGACAAAGAACAUUUUUUCCAGAUCUCUUUUGCAAACAUGGAGCUGAGUGUAGAACCCUUUCUAAGCCGAGAGGUAGCUGAAGAAUUUUGUGCAUCUGCUUUACCGUGAAGCCAGGAUGAAUAUUGGGCAGAAGCUUCUUUGGAGGGUGAUGUUUUGUGACUAAGUGCAGGUGGUUCUUGUUACUCGAAAACCAGAAAAAGAGCUUCUGAAACCUAGACAGAAGGUUUUCCAUCCUUGUUAUUAAAAGCAGCCCCACUGAAUUAUAGGCUAAAAGCUGAAACACCUAGAAAAGCAGAAUGGAGUGGUCUGAAGGCAUAGGAGGAUGCCUGAUUCCUGAGUAAAUAAGCCGUAAAAUGUGACAGUGGACUCUGGUGGCUUUGGGAAGGGGAGGAGGAAGAUAGGAGCUGGUUCACAGAGAGAAGUAGAAGAAGAAAAGGGAGGACAGACUUCAUAUUUUCAGCUGCAGGGAAUCAGUUAUUGGGUUUAUCUGCCCAUCAAAAUUAUGCCAUGUCUUUAUACCAUUUAAAAUAAUUUUUCCAAUUAAAAUUGAAGGUUUUCUUACUAA
Long non-coding RNA from Corapipo altera (White-ruffed manakin), 3402 nucleotides. RefSeq lists it as uncharacterized. The transcript has 2 exons. Lineage: Eukaryota; Metazoa; Chordata; Aves; Passeriformes; Pipridae. The record is from RefSeq and is a predicted model, not a curated record.